GACGAACCGUGCGAACGUUGUUCGGAAUCACUGGGCUUAAAGGGCGCGUAUGCGGGCCGCAAAGUCAGGGGUGGAAUCCUCCAGCUUAACUGGAGAACUGCCUUUGAUACUGGCGGCCUGGAGUAAGGUAGGGGCGUGCGGAACUGAUGGUGGAGCGGUGAAAUGUGUUGAUAUCAUCAGGAACUCCGGUGGCGAAAGCGGCACGCUGGACCUUCACUGACGCUGAGGCGCGAAAGCCAGGGGAGCAAACGGG
This 253-nucleotide ribosomal RNA is filed under the name uncultured bacterium. RNAcentral's name for it is "partial 16S ribosomal RNA". It matches the Rfam family "Bacterial small subunit ribosomal RNA", at positions 524 to 776 of the family's 1533-position model. The record is from RNAcentral.